ACAUAAGAAUUUUCAUGGGUAUAUAUUUGUUUUAAUUUUAAUUAAUUACUACUAGUAAUUCUUUUUCGAAUUUUUAACAGUUAACUUGAUUGCUUCAACAAUAAAUUUCGAUUCAUCAUCUUUAUUAUUUUUUUCUUCUUGAUUAAUGGGAUUUUAAAAAGAUUUUCGGGUUUUAAAUUUGCUGGUAAUUUUGUAAACUUGCUUUUUUGGGUUUAAGCUGUGAAAAGAAACUAGGUUGAACAGGUAAAACCUAAAGAAAAUUAGAAAGUUAAUAAGAAGAAGGGGGUGUAAAUGUUGGGGAAAUGAAUAAAAAUGAGAAGUUUUUUAUUGUACUGGCUUAUUUGAUGUGAAUUUCACUUUUUUCUUUCAUUUUGGGAAUUAUUCUAUUUUAGGGAUUUUGAUUGUUACUAAAUUACAUUGAAAUUUUCAGCCGAAAGGUUUUAUGGUAUUACGGGUAAUUUUUGGGUUUCGGCAGUUUGUAUUGAUAGGGUUUUGAGAGUUAAGAAUGGGGAUUCAAACUAUGGGAUCCCAAAGCAAUGGACAACAGUCUCUUUUACAGCCAUCGCCAUUGGUGAGGCAGAAUUCAUGGUAUAGUCUUACUCUUAAUGAAGUUGAAAACCAAUUAGGGAACUUGGGGAAGCCUUUAGGUAGUAUGAACCUUGAUGAGCUUCUUGAUAAUGUAUGGAGUACCGAGUUGAAUCCACCGUUAGGGAUGAAUAAUACCGAAAGCAUUUCGUCAUCUUCUUCAUCUCUUCAACGUCAAGCUAGCUUAACCUUGGCUAGAGCUUUGAGUGGUAAGACGGUAGAUCAAGUGUGGAGUGAGAUACAACAAGGUCAAAAGAGGAGGUACGGUGAGGGGAUCAAGGAUCAAGAAAGAGAAGCAACGCUCGGUGAAACCACAUUGGAGGAUUUUUUGGUACAAGCAGGGCUUUUUGUUGCCGAAACAUCAUUGGAUCCUACAAUGGAAUUUGAUAAUACCCGUCAGCAAAGUUUGCCACACCAGUUCGGAUUGUCACCUACACCAUCUAUUGGUACAUUAUCUGAUACACCUAUGACGAGGCAGAAACGAGAUGUAUUUCAGAAGAGUAUUGAGAGUAGUUUGCCACAGCAAUUUGGGUUGUCACCUACCCCGUCUAUUGGCACGUUAUCGGAUACACCUAUGACAGGACGGAAAAGAGAUGCUCAAGAUGCAUUUGAGAAGAGUAUUGAGAGGAGGUUAAGGAGAAAGAUCAAGAACAGGGAAUCCGCUGCACGAUCACGAGCUAGGAAGCAGGCAUGGUCUUUUGGUUUUUGCAUAGGCUUACCACAAUGAGCUGGUUAACAAGGUUUCACGAUUAGAAGAGGAUAAUCUAAAGCUCAAAAGAGAGAAGGAAUUUGAUACAAAAUCUCAGUGUGAAACAUCUGAAACAAGGUAUCAGCUUAGAAGAACAAGUUCCGCCUCUUUUUAACUCAUGUUUUCCGCUGUUUUAAGCUCUCCAGUUGGCUUGUUGACGGAGCUUCGUUGUGAAUUCGUUCCAAGGGUUUGGUAUUCUGUACAUUUAUGAUGAUCAUAUGUGUUGGUUUUUACCUUCCUCCGCAAAACUGCCAUGUUUAUAUGUGUUAGGUUAUAUUUAUUCGGCUGAACGACAAGUAAAUCGGUGUUGAUUAGGCUAUAAUCCUACCUUUAAAGUAGAAAAAGCUUGGGGAAAAAGAAAUGUUGUGCAAACAUUGACUAUGGGAAUGCAAUAAUAUUUGCUUUAAA
RNA transcript from Gossypium raimondii (Peruvian cotton), 1741 nucleotides. It is a transcript of the gene named ABSCISIC ACID-INSENSITIVE 5-like protein 7, with no coding region annotated. The transcript has 3 exons. NCBI's taxonomy places the organism in Eukaryota, Viridiplantae, Streptophyta, Magnoliopsida, Malvales, Malvaceae. The record is from RefSeq and is a predicted model, not a curated record.